GGGUUGUGAGGUUAAGCGACUAAGCGUACACGGUGGAUGCCCUGGCAGUCAGAGGCGAUGAAGGACGUGCUAAUCUGCGAUAAGCGCCGGUAAGGUGAUAUGAACCGUUAUAACCGGCGAUUUCCGAAUGGGGAAACCCAGUGUGACUCGUCACACUAUCAUUAACUGAAUCCAUAGGUUAAUGAGGCGAACCGGGGGAACUGAAACAUCUAAGUACCCCGAGGAAAAGAAAUCAACCGAGAUUCCCCCAGUAGCGGCGAGCGAACGGGGAGGAGCCCAGAGCCUGAAUCAGCAUGUGUGUUAGUGGAAGCGUCUGGAAAGGCGCGCGAUACAGGGUGACAGCCCCGUACACAAAAGCGCAUGUGUUGUGAGCUCGAUGAGUAGGGCGGGACACGUGGUAUCCUGUCUGAAUAUGGGGGGACCAUCCUCCAAGGCUAAAUACUCCUGACUGACCGAUAGUGAACCAGUACCGUGAGGGAAAGGCGAAAAGAACCCCGGCGAGGGGAGUGAAAAAGAACCUGAAACCGUGUACGUACAAGCAGUGGGAGCCCCACCACUAAGCCAGUGGUGAACUCCACAUACGCAUCCUUUGCUGAAGGUGCGGUUAACGGAGCGCAAGCGACGUUCAACCUCAAAAGAAGCAGAGGGGGC
Molecule: ribosomal RNA, 651 nt
Filed under: Salmonella enterica subsp. enterica serovar Kentucky
Lineage: Bacteria; Pseudomonadati; Pseudomonadota; Gammaproteobacteria; Enterobacterales; Enterobacteriaceae
Description: partial 23S ribosomal RNA
Rfam family: Bacterial large subunit ribosomal RNA
Source: RNAcentral